GAUAGGAAAUGGACGAAGACCGAAGUUUGAAGAUGCUUUUAUUUCCCAUUGAUUGUAUUAAAGUGACAGGUUGCCAUAUUUCGGCUGUGGUUGGUGUUUGUGGCGGAGACGAAGACUAUUUUACACAUUAGCAAACUAGCAAACAUGGGAGCUGCUGGUGACACAACGUGGUUUGUUUUUAUCAACGCGUGAUCCAAGACGUGAAGGCCGCCGCCAUGAUUUGAACUUGGCUCCUCCCCAAGAUGGCGACUCUAGAGGGGGAGGGGGCAGAUGUCCAUUUUGUGCACCGACAAGACAAGUGCCAUCAUAAGCAGCAGACACAACAUGGAGGACAGCAACAUGGAGGUCACGUGUCAUCAACGCCACACGUCAACUCUGAACUCCGGUACAUCCCUUUUUAGACAUCCGUGUCAAACCCAAACCCAAACAACAGUAACAAUUCCCGUCGUUCCAAAAUGGCACCUGUAAUGUACUGUGUGCAAGAAGUGGGGGGGGGGGGUCUCUAAUUGCCCUCCUCAGCUGCCGUGCCCUGCAGUAGAGUUGCUGUUGUUCAAGCACAUGUGAUGGAGCAAUAAAAAAAAAUGGCCUUCAAUACACAUCAUUUCAACUUCCUGUCUGCCAGGCGAGCUAUCAUACCUGCCAACGUUGGGACAUAAGGCACGUUCUCUGGAAAAUGACGGAAAAUAAGAGAAAUUUGGGAGUGUCCAACAGAGUUCCCGGCAACGGGAAUUCUGAAAAAAACAAAAGAAAAUGUCCAAAAACAGGGUCCACCCAAAGGAGGGAUUUCCCACAAAUUGUGUGCAUUUUUGUUUUUUAAAAAAUCAGCAGAACACGUUUUCCCCCCUAAAAUGGGGGCCACCUCAUGUAGUAAAUCCUUGAAAUUUUCAGAUUUAUGCUUUAAUAAAAUACAUUCAAAAAUUCCAAAAUGGAGUACACCUAAAACACCUAAAACAUGUGGAUUUUAUAUUUCAAGAAAAUAUAGAAAGUUUAAAUGGGGUAAGGGGGGGGGGGGGCUAAAUCGCUAGGUGUGUAACUACAAUGAUGGAUUUGGGAGAGCGGUACACGCACCCGGGCCCGCCACAAAUAAAUCAGGUGCUCCCUAUUGGCUCUUGCUUCUAAAUAAACACAUUAUAACGGGACUGUCUGGUCGCACACGUCAUGCAGGCACCGGAGAAGAAGAAGACGUAGCAGGUGGGAUCAGUGUUCCUGCUCUUAUUGGACAAAAACAGGGUUCGCCCAAAGGAGGGAUUUCCCACAAAUGUGUGCAUUUUUGGUUUUUAAAAAAAUCAGCAGAACACGUUUUUCCCCUUAAAAUGGGGGCCACCUCAUAUAGUAAAUUCUUGAAAUUUUCAGAUUUAUGCUUUAAUAAAAUGCAUUAAAAAUACAAAAAUGGGGUACACCUAAAACAUGUGGAUUUUAUCUUUCAAGAUUUCAAGAAAAUAUAGAAAAUUUAAAUGGGGGGGCUAAAUUGCUAAGUGUGUAACAAGAAUGAUGGAUUUGGGAGAGCCAUACACACAUCCGGGCCCGCCACAAAUAAAUCAGGUGCUCCCUAUUGGCUCUUGCUUCUAAAUAAACACAUUAUAACGGGACUGUCUGUGGUGGCACACCUCAUACAGGCACCGGAGAAGAAGAAGACGUAGCAGGUGGGAUCAGUGUUUCUGCUCUUAUUGGACAAAAACAGGGUUCGCCCAAAGGAGGGAUUUCCCACAAACGUGUGCAUUUUUGGUUUUUUAAAAAAUCAGCAGAACACGUUUUUCCCCCUAAAAUGGGGGCCACCUCAUAUAGUAAAUCCUUGAAAUUUUCAGAUUUAUGCUUUAAUAAAAUGCAUUAAAAAUACAAAAAUGGGGUACACCUAAAACAUGUGGAUUUUAUCUUUCAAGAUUUCAAGAAAAUAUAGAAAAUUUAAAUGGGGGGGGGCUAAAUUGCUAAGUGUGUAACAAGAAUGAUGGAUUUGUGAGAGCGGUACACACACCCGGGCCCGCCACAAAUGAAUCAUGUGCUCCCUAUUGGCUUUUGCUUCUAAAUAAACACAUUAUAACGGGACUUUCUGUGGUGGCACACCUCAUACAGGCACCAGAGAAUAAGAACAUGUAGCAGGUGGGAUCAGUGUUUCUGCUUUUAUUGGACACUCUUGGAGACAAGACCUCGAAGCCAAACUCUAGCCGACAUUCCCGGCGGACUCAGCUUUGCAUCCGGCGUGAUCGGCACACCUCAGCGAGGGGCGAGGAGGGAACGCAUAGCACCCCCCCCCCAUGCAAAUGAGGCGGACGUCCGCAAAUGAAACGUCAGGACAUAAAAUAUUGUCACUUUCAUUUCGCCGGCGAAUCCAUAUUCCUCCUUAAAUAAAAGUGUCAUGGCGGCCGAGGGUAAUGACGGCAGAACAAAGCGGCGUGAUUAACGAUAGCAAUUUAUUGUAUCUGGCGGCCGGCGAGGCGGCGGCGGCGUCGGCGGCGGCAGGGCUCGGCGACACGGCGGUUAUCAUAAUUCAUAUCGUAAAUAAGAGCGGCCGGCCAAUCAGGAGGAGGCGAUGUCAUCCCAAAUAACCUUUGAUAACAAUUACCAUACAAGUCACAAUGUUAUCUUCUCCUAUUCUCCCCUUGUAGAAUACAACACUAUUACCAUAUAGAUUAGACUAUUUAUAAUGCUGGUGUCAUUCUCUAGCCAAGGUGGGGGGGGGGGGGGGGGCGCUACAACCUGUCGUUAAGACUAGAUUAUUAUGGUCUGCUCUUUAUGACGAGCGCUCUGUAUCACACGGAAGCACAUUGCCGACGCACCGCAAGGAUGUGUGUGUGUGUGUGUGUGUGUGUUCGUGCGGGGUCAUGUGGG
Doryrhamphus excisus (bluestripe pipefish) is the source of this 2826-nucleotide non-coding RNA. NCBI's taxonomy places the organism in Eukaryota, Metazoa, Chordata, Actinopteri, Syngnathiformes, Syngnathidae. The record is from RefSeq and is a predicted model, not a curated record.